RNAcentral lists this long non-coding RNA (451 nucleotides) under Nannospalax galili (Upper Galilee mountains blind mole rat). RNAcentral's name for it is "lncRNA (ENSNGAG00000024623.1)". The record is from RNAcentral. Lineage: Eukaryota; Metazoa; Chordata; Mammalia; Rodentia; Spalacidae.
CAGGGCUUUAGUGUGCCAGCUUCGAGCUGAAGCAUCCAGGUGGGGCUGCAUUCUCCCAUGUGGCCUAGGGUCUCCUCAUCUGCUACAGCCUGGGCUUGUCCCUGUGUGCCAUAGUUUUCACAGCUGAGCCAUGAGCCAUGGUGCUGUUGGCCAUCAACAGGUGACCUGUUUCAUUUUAGGCCAGCUUUAAGGAGUCAUAUAUGGCGACAUUCUAUGAAUUCUUCAAUGAGCAGAAGUACGCAGAUGCUGUAAAGAAUUUCCUGGAUUUGAUUUCAUCCUCGGGGAGAAGGGACCCCAAAAGCAUAGAGCAGCCCAUCCUGCUUAAAGAAGGGUAAGGCAUUUGUCUUCUUGCUGAUUAAGACUGCUAUAUGGGUAGUCCUCUUCCUCCCCCAUAGUCCUGAGGGGUCGUCUGUCAAGAAAACUGCAGCCAGAGCACCUGGUGAUAGAAACU